GACGAACGCUGGCGGCGUGCUUAACACAUGCAAGUCGAACGGAAAGGCCCUGCUUUCGUGGGGUGCUCGAGUGGCGAACGGGUGAGUAACACGUGAGUAACCUGCCCUUGACUUUGGGAUAACUUCAGGAAACUGGGGCUAAUACCGGAUAGGAGCUCCUGCUGCAUGGUGGGGGUUGGAACGUUUCGGCGGUUGGGGAUGGACUGGCGGCUUAUCAGCUUGUUGGUGGGGUAGUGGCUUACCCAGGCUUUGACGGGUAGCCGGCCUGAGAGGGUGACCGGCCACAUUGGGACUGAGAUACGGACCAGACUCCUACAGGAGGCAGCAGUGGGAAAUAUUGCACAGUGGGCGGAAGCCGGAGGCGGCAGCGCCGCGUGCGGGAUGACGGCCUUCGGGUUGUAAACCGCUUUCGCCUGAGACGAAGCGUGAGUGACGGUAAUGGGUGAAGAAGCACCGGCUAACUACGUG
RNAcentral lists this ribosomal RNA (468 nucleotides) under uncultured bacterium. Its description in RNAcentral is "partial 16S ribosomal RNA". It matches the Rfam family "Bacterial small subunit ribosomal RNA", at positions 28 to 507 of the family's 1533-position model. The record is from RNAcentral.